ACCCAGUUGGGGGGGCAGGAGGGAGCUGGAGGAUGGUUGGUGGUGGGCUUUCUACUUUGCCUUUUCCUCCUCAUGCCGCCUUAGUGAGAUGCGGAAUCUCUGGCAGCAGCUCCGGGGUGGGGAUACGAGCCCUGGAGUAGAAGAGCUGGGUUUGCUUCCGGGCCUAUCCACCAGCUGGCCGAGUGACCUUAGGCAAAUCACUCUGUAAUUUGUCUGCGCCUCAGUUUCCUCCUCUGCCUGUCGUUGUGUGUGGGGUUGAAAGCGCUUUGUAAACUAUAAGGCGUUGGUAUACGUAAAAGAUGAAUAUUGUAAUGUUUUUUGAGUUGUAAGAAAACAACAAUUACCCAUCUGUGGGAUUUUGAACCUGGGAACCUUAGAUUGGAGUUGGAGAUCCCUAAAACUCCCAGAUACUGUAUGCAGAAAAUUUGUGGGAACAUGCAUUUGUAAGGAAUGAUAAUCCACAGCUGGCAAGUUUUCAGAGGGUCCUGUGACCCAGAAGAGUUAAGAUCGAUUCCUGUAUGCCACUUCCUUUAUGCCACGGGGAGGAAACUGAGGCCUAGAUGUCAUUUGGGUUCCUUCACUACCAAUUUGAAGCCCCCCGUGUGAGUCCCUGGGAUAUGUGAGCUGUUUCUAUGCAUAAUGGAUGUUGGGGGUAACAAUAAGCCCUGCUGGCUUCUGUUCUGAAUCCUUUCUUUUCACCAUGGGGUGCCUGAAUGAUGGCUGAUGUAUAUGGUACAAUGGCACCCAAUGUAAAGCAGCUACAAUUAAGGGUGGAUGUGUUCUGUAAUAUCAAGCAUAUUUAAUCUUUGGCCCAGAAGUUCUUUGUUUUUUGCUGUUUAUACUGAUGUCUGACUACGUUUCUUUCAUUGACCAUUUUGCUAUGUUUUCACUUGCUCCUAUUUUGUGUCCCUAGUUUGUGUGUUUGGUAGUGAAUAGGCUUAUUUUUAAAUGGUGCUGCCAUGUACAGCUAAUUAAUGGUGCACAUGGAUUUUUAGCAAGCAGGCUCACUGGAACAGGCAUGGAAUUCCUGAAGAUGUUUUGGAUUUUUUCUUUAUUUGAAGGCUAACAUGCUCUUAAAAGUUCUGUUAAAACUCCUGCUGAACCUCAAAAAUCAGAUUUGGUAGCGAUUUGAAACUUUCCUGGCCUGCCAUGUAUUCUGUUGGUUAUAAGUGUGAUAAGGAGGCAGCCAAAAUGCCAUUUUUUGUUUCUUUGUUAAUUGUCAGCUGCUUUUAUCAAAUUCCAGUCUGUUAUCCAGCAAACACUAAAAAUGUUUGAAUAGUUGGAUUUCAAACAUUUUAACUUUGUGGAGUGGUGCUUACCAAGUGGUACAGCUCUAAGCAAGUGAACAUGAACACUUUUAAGUGUAGUUUGUCUGAUUAGAUGUUAGCCAGUUCUGCUGUUUCAUUCAAAUGUCUGGAAAAAAAAAAAAAAAAAUCAGUUGACUGUUCCUUUACCUAAAGGGCAGAGACAAAUGAUUCACUCCCAGAAAAAAUGACUUUUUUUGAAGAAAACUGUGUUUGUCUUUAGCUCUUUUGUAAUUAAGUCUGGAUGUACCUCAAAAGAAUCUUUAGACUGUGGUGAUAAGAGGCUUUCCUCCAGAGAAAGGGGGAGAAAAACAACUGGAACUCAAAGCUUGAAAUUCUGUAACAAAACAUGAGAUGUCCAGGAUUGGAGGUUGAAAAGGUUUUGCUACAGUGUCCUGCAAUCAUUGAAGCAGAUAACUUUUAGUAGCUGCAGCCAUGGACUCCAGAUUUUCAAGAACUGGACCUGCAACCCAGAAGAGCUUGUCAGGAUGUGGCAGGAAUUCUGGAGGUAGUUUUUUUGGUUUGGUUUGUUUUGUUCUGUUUUUAAUUUGGGGACUGUUGACCUUGCUGUGAGAAAAGAGGCAACUGAGCAAGCACUGCCACCAGCAAUGUUUAUGGGAAUUAGAAGACCUGAGUUUCUCUUCAGAACUUCUGUGCAAACUGAUAACACUCCAUCCAAAGUGGAUUACGAUAGCAAAUCCUUUGAAAAGGACCUUGUUUUAUGCACCUACAUACCACUACCUCUGAUGAAGCAUUUAUUACAAAGGAAGACUUUAGAGAACAGGCUGUCUCAGAAUCAUCCUGUGCCUCCUGAUUGCUGAGUGUUCACCUGGACCUUCUGACCACCUUCCUUCUGCUAGACCAUCAGCCUACAGACCUGGUACCUGGAUUUUUGCUCAUGGUGAUUCCUGCCACUUUACUACUGAAGAAGGCAUCAUUCCAGUGGACACUGUGACCCAAGAGGCAUUCAUCCAUCAUGAUGUGGCCUUUACCUCCACUCCUUUCCUGUUGUACCCAGAGUCAACACAGCCCUUUAUAGUGUAGUCAAGAGUCCUGAAGCCAAAUGGCUGAAGCUAUUUUAUCACAAAGGCCCAGUUUUUUCCAUGAGUGUACAUUUCAUUUCUUCAGUUAAAGCCUUCAGAAAGACACAAUAAAGUUGGACCAGGGGAUUUGUAAUUGUCAACUAUGUCAGAAGAAAUGAAACAUCUCUUUGAGAACAGCAUUAGACCAUGCCCCCCCAAUCUCAAAUGAUUGAAGUUCAUGAACUAACUGUCUUGAUGGAAUCCCAUCAAGGUCACUGAACCCUGUUUUUUUCUACAUCAAAUCUGUAGUAGCCUACUGAAUGAGAAAGUAGAUACUCUGACCCAUUGGGAUCAAAAGAAGGCACAGUGAAUUCCUCAUAGCAUCUUCUUUGGGAUUACUCAGGAACCAGAACUCUUCACAAAACAUAAGAAAUUCUACUAAGGAAUCCCUUUACCUAAUGGCAUCUCACAAGACUACAGUCAGACUCAAGAAAAGGCCUCUUGAUACAUCAAGAUAGCACCUAUAUGGUAAUCCCCUAUGUUUACCUAGCACUUUACAGUUUCAAAGCACUUUUACAUGUAUUUCAAUAAUCAAAAUAACACAAUAAUGUAUCCCUUUUUUAAAUGAGGGAACCCGAAUUUAAGAGGUAAAGCAGUUAACCAAGGUGACUCAGCUACAAAAUGAUAGAGGCCAAGCCUUCUGACUCCCAGUCCAGUAUUGUCCUUGGCAUUAACUUACCCACAGUGUUAUAAUGGCUGGAGAUAGGGAAUUAAAAGUUUUCAGCUUGAUCUGGUGACCCCUUGAGGAUAUUUUAUGUAUAAUCAUGUGAUUGGUCCACUUAGAUCAGAAUUACAUGGCAGUAUCCCUAGGGUAGAGAAGCAAACUGUCUAUGGUGGUAGAUUGUCCAGUCAAAAAAAGCAUGUUUUCAUCAGUAACAAGAUUGCCCAAUGUGAAACAGAAAGCAACUUAUAGCUCUUCAGUCCAUUUUUUAUGAUCUUCUUGAGAAGAUCAUAAAAAAUGGCCUAAUUGGUUAGGAAUCUUGUUCAUAUCAUGUCUUUUUGUUGUUUAAUACUAAUAGACACAGGGAACUUAUUUAUAGUCCUCUGUCCCCAAACUAAUAUUUACAAUAUGAGCAAAUUUUUUUCCUCUGUAUAUGGUAGAUAAGUAUCUCGUAGAACUUCUAAUUCUGUAAGAUGUAUCCCUUCCUACAAUGCAGUGUAAAAUAUUAAAGGAGCUCAAAAGACUUGGCAGCAAAGAGGUCCAUUUAAUUCUUUUGCCCAUUAUGUCCUGAGUUUAAUCAAACAGGGUUUUGUUUUGUUUUUUGGCAGCAUUCCUUUUAAUGGAAUGAAAAAUUGCUUUAGAGCAGUAUAACCAGGGCUUCCUGAUUACCAACAAAUUGACCUAGAGACCCAUAAUAAACAUAGUAUCUUUUGAAAACCGUA
Molecule: non-coding RNA, 3769 nt
Organism: Marmota flaviventris (yellow-bellied marmot)
Lineage: Eukaryota; Metazoa; Chordata; Mammalia; Rodentia; Sciuridae
Source: RefSeq, a predicted model, not a curated record